Molecule: ribosomal RNA, 492 nt
Filed under: uncultured bacterium
Lineage: Bacteria
Description: partial 16S ribosomal RNA
Rfam family: Bacterial small subunit ribosomal RNA
Source: RNAcentral
AGUGAACGCUGGCGGUAGGCCUAGCACAUGCCAGUCGAACGGCAGCACAGUAAGAGCUUGCUCUUACGGGUGGCGAGUGGCGGACGGGUGAGGAAUACAUCGGAAUCUACUUUUUCGUGGGGGAUAACGUAGGGAAACUUACGCUAAUACCGCAUACGACCUACGGGUGAAAGCAGGGGAUCUUCGGACCUUGCGCGAUUGAAUGAGCCGAUGUCGGUUUAGCUAGUUGGCGGGGUAAAGGCCCACCAAGGCGACGAUCCGUAGCUGGUCUGAGAGGAUGAUCAGCCACACUGGAACUGAGACACGGUCCAGACUCCUACGGGAGGCAGCAGUGGGGAAUAUUGGACAAUGGGCGCAAGCCUGAUCCAGCCAUACCGCGUGGGUGAAGAAGGCCUUCGGGUUGUAAAGCCCUUUUGUUGGGAAAGAAAAGCAGCAGGUUAAUACCCCGCUGUUCUGACGGUACCCAAAGAAUAAGCACCGGCUAACUUCGUG